GUGGGGAAUAUUGGACAAUGGGCGAAAGCCUGAUCCAGCCAUGCCGCGUGUGUGAAGAAGGUCUUCGGAUUGUAAAGCACUUUAAGUUGGGAGGAAGGGCUUAAGGCUAAUACCCUUGAGUCUUGACGUUACCGACAGAAUAAGCACCGGCUAACUUCGUGCCAGCAGCCGCGGUAAUACGAAGGGUGCAAGCGUUAAUCGGAAUUACUGGGCGUAAAGCGCGCGUAGGUGGUUUUGUAAGUUGGAGGUGAAAUCCCCGGGCUCAACCUGGGAACUGCCUCCAAAACUGCAUGACUCGAGUACGGUAGAGGGUGGUGGAAUUUCCUGUGUAGCGGUGAAAUGCGUAGAUAUAGGAAGGAACAUCAGUGGCGAAGGCGACCACCUGGACUGAUACUGACACUGAGGUGCGAAAGCGUGGGGAGCAAACAGG
Molecule: ribosomal RNA, 430 nt
Filed under: uncultured bacterium
Lineage: Bacteria
Description: bacterial SSU rRNA
Rfam family: Bacterial small subunit ribosomal RNA
Source: RNAcentral